Molecule: ribosomal RNA, 437 nt
Filed under: bacterium A209
Lineage: Bacteria
Description: bacterial SSU rRNA
Rfam family: Bacterial small subunit ribosomal RNA
Source: RNAcentral
AGCGGCGGACGGGUGAGUAAUGCUUGGGAACAGGCCUUGAGGUGGGGGACAACAUUUGGAAACGACUGCUAUUACCGCAAAUUGUAUACCGAGCAAACGAGGCUUCGACUCUCGCCUUUACAUUGACCCAAUUGGGAUUAUCUACUUGGCGACGUAAGGGCUCACCAAUGCGACUAUCCCUAUCUGGUUUGAGAGGAUGAUCACCCACACUGGAACUGAUAAACUGUCCACACUCCUACCGUACGCAGCUUUGGGGAAUAUUGCCUAAUGAGAGAAAUCCUGAUUGCCCCAUGCCGCGUGUGUGAAGAAGGCGUUCUCGUUGUAAAACACUUUCCAUCAUGACGAAAGGGUGUGAGUUAAUACCUCACAUCUGUGACGUUACUGACUCAAGAAGCACCCGCUAACUCCCUGCCAACAUCCCCGGUAGUACAGAGGGU